Molecule: small nuclear RNA, 18 nt
Filed under: Arabidopsis thaliana (thale cress)
Lineage: Eukaryota; Viridiplantae; Streptophyta; Magnoliopsida; Brassicales; Brassicaceae
Description: snRNA_04177
Source: RNAcentral
AAAAAGCUGUUUGCUUAC